This 253-nucleotide ribosomal RNA is filed under the name uncultured bacterium. Its description in RNAcentral is "partial 16S ribosomal RNA". It matches the Rfam family "Bacterial small subunit ribosomal RNA", at positions 524 to 776 of the family's 1533-position model. The record is from RNAcentral.
GACGAACCGUCCAAACGUUAUUCGGAAUCACUGGGCUUAAAGAGUUCGUAGGCGGUCUGGAAAGUUGGGUGUGAAAUCCCUCGGCUCAACCGAGGAACUGCGCUUGAAACUACCAGACUCGAGGGAGAUAGAGGAAAGCGGAACUGAUGGUGGAGCGGUGAAAUGCGUUGAUAUCAUCAGGAACACCGGUGGCGAAGGCGGCUUUCUGGGUCUUACCUGACGCUGAGGAACGAAAGCUAGGGGAGCGAACGGG